Molecule: ribosomal RNA, 606 nt
Filed under: bacterium
Lineage: Bacteria
Description: bacterial SSU rRNA
Rfam family: Bacterial small subunit ribosomal RNA
Source: RNAcentral
GCGUUGGCGGCGUGCUUAACACAUGCAAGUCGAACGAUGAUGCCCAGCUUGCUGGGCGGAUUAGUGGCGAACGGGUGAGUAAUACGUGAGUAACCUGCCCUUGACUCUGGGAUAAGCCUGGGAAACUGGGUCUAAUACUGGAUACUACUGCGCAUCGCAUGGUGUGUGGUGGAAAGGGUUUUACUGGUUUUGGAUGGGCUCACGGCCUAUCAGCUUGUUGGUGGGGUAAUGGCUCACCAAGGCGACGACGGGUAGCCGGCCUGAGAGGGUGACCGGCCACACUGGGACUGAGACACGGCCCAGACUCCUACGGGAGGCAGCAGUGGGGAAUAUUGCACAAUGGGCGCAAGCCUGAUGCAGCGACGCCGCGUGAGGGAUGACGGCCUUCGGGUUGUAAACCUCUUUCAGUAGGGAAGAAGCGAGAGUGACGGUACCUGCAGAAGAAGCGCCGGCUAACUACGUGCCAGCAGCCGCGGUAAUACGUAGGGCGCAAGCGUUGUCCGGAAUUAUUGGGCGUAAAGAGCUCGUAGGCGGUUUGUCGCGUCUGCUGUGAAAGCCCGGGGCUCAACCCCGGGUCUGCAGUGGGUACGGGCAGACUAGAGUGCA